UCAGAGUGGGGAGUGCAUGUUUUUCAAAAUCAAAAAGUAGGCAAAAACAGUCCACCACCCCAUCUUUCCUGCCCAGGCCCCUGGCUGGGGAGGCCAAGGAGUGGCUUAAGUUGUCCAGCUUCUGGGCCCUCCUCCCUCCCAUCAAGACCUGGAAGGAAGGGCUGAGCCAGGGGCAGGCCCCAGAGGCCCAGCCAGGCCAGCAGCAGCAGGUCUUUGAGUGUCUGGUUGAAUGGGACGUCGAGGAAGUCCCAGAGCAGCAGGUCACUGUAGCGACGGCUCUCCCAGGCCACUAGUAAGUCUAGGUCAGGCCCCGCCUCACCCACCGGAGACCCUAGCAGGAAGA
This 343-nucleotide non-coding RNA is filed under the name Pongo abelii (Sumatran orangutan). The record is from RNAcentral. Lineage: Eukaryota; Metazoa; Chordata; Mammalia; Primates; Hominidae.